Molecule: non-coding RNA, 95 nt
Organism: Komagataeibacter medellinensis NBRC 3288
Lineage: Bacteria; Pseudomonadati; Pseudomonadota; Alphaproteobacteria; Acetobacterales; Acetobacteraceae
Source: Rfam
GGAGAUCGGUUGUAGACGGAUACCUUGCUAACCUGGUCAGGUCCGGAAGGAAGCAGCCGUAGUAAGUUUCGUCCGGGUUAUGGCCGGUCUUCCAC